GCGUUCUCAUUGUUUGUAUGUACUCGCUGCCUCGCCGGGGAAGCACGACAACGGUCCCCCGUGCAUGCAUGCGCCCAAGUUAUCUCUUGCAAGGGUCAAUCGGUCAUAACUAACCAGCACCCGUAUCCAUAAGCAAUUAAUCCUAACUUGUGCAGUUGGGCUUGGGCUGUGAUCAUGUAGGGCUGACAGGGUCCACCCGACCAGUCGUCUGACGUUAGUCUUUGACGCAGUCACGAAACAUGUUGGUUUCCACUGUAGAUCAUCAAUCUAGGAUUAGUCGUAGUUGGCUUCCGAUUACAUACACCCAAAAACCCAAAACUUUACAAGAUUCUCCGUCACAUCGAAAUUUACGGCACAUGCAUGAAGUAUGAAAUAUAGAUAAAAAGAAUAACUAAUUGCACAGUUUAUCGGUAAAUCACGAGACGAAUUUUUUAAGCCUAGUUACUCCAUAAUUAGACAAUGUUUGUCAAAUAAAAACGAAAAUAUUACAGUGUCAGAAUUUCAAAACUUUUUGCAUCUAAACAAGGCCUCAUUGUCACCAUCAGCCUGACUAUUUUGCCUGACUAUUUUUUGUUACGAUUUUGUUGGAGUUUCUUUACCGUCAAAUAUGAAAUAUGCACAUGCGAAAACAGCUUUUGAAGCCAAAACUAAGCAAUGGUUGUUGUUGUUCUUGGGGUGUGUGUGGUGGUGGUGGGGGGGGGGGGAGUAAUGGUUGCUUAUGGCUAAACUAAAGUGUUUUUACUGUGUUUUAUUUAAUAGCGAGUCUCUGGUCAAAGUUCGUUUGUGGUUAGAUGGUCGUGGGACCCCCCGGAGAAACUUGAUUCCAUCUGUUGUCCAGCUACAACGACGGACCAAUUUGCAGCAUUUGCUAUCGAAGGUAGUCCGUUCGCUUUUCCAUGACCCUGACGUGCCACACUAGCUUCUUUGUAUCCAUUGUUAGUUUUCGUGACCAGAGUACACCGUAGACUGCAUGCGGGGCAUCGCAAUCUACAUCAAUCUACAUCAACGACGGGCAUUGCAAAAUUUUUCAGAUUCCCCGUCACAUCGAAUCUUUAGACACAUGCAUGAUGUAUUAAAUAUAGAUAAAAAUAAAAACUAAUUACACAGUUUGAUCGAAAUUGACGAGACGAAUCUUUUGAACCUAAUUAGUCUAUGAUUGGAUAAUAUUUGUCAAAUACAAACGAAAAAGCUACAGUGUCGAUUUUGCAAAAUAUUUUGGAACUAAACAAGGCCUAAUGAAAAGAAAAAGGAGCUGCCUAAAUCCGGACAUUGCGCUAACUGAAUGAGCCUGUUCGUUUAUUAUCUUAUAAGCCAGCCAAUAGUAUUUUUCUCUUUUUAGCUAUGACUUUUUAUACCAGGAAAUAGGUUCAUAAACCAUAUCUACUAAGGUAGGUAGGCAUUCUUGUGCCCUGGGAAAAACUGAUCAUCGACUUUUCAUCGACCUGGUCAACCCACGCGUGGAGUCCUUGGUGGCAACAUGUCAGCCAUUGCAGCAUCAGCACCGCGCCAUGGGAUUUGCGGACUUGUCGUGCACGUGCUCUUGUUUGGUGCUCCUGCCAAACUUCCACUAGCAAUGUGGCCUGUGGGUCUUUAUAAAAAAAAAAAGAAAAAAAUUUGCACUGUUGGUGGCGCACUGGAUUUGUUUAGAUUUUGGUUUUUUUUGGGGGACAAGAAGAUUUUGUUGGACACCACUGGUACUGCUAACGUGUUUGACUCCUCUUGUCAUGUAUCCGUGUGCGCGCACGCGCUCCACCGGAGACCCCGGACGCUCUUUUUUUGCUUGCGCGCGUUCCCUUCUCCGGUCCUGACGAGACCUUCCCAUCCGGCGUUACUGUCAUCCCCGCGGACGAGAGAGUAUCGUCAGCGUGAUGCAAGAGCAAGAACGUUUGUGGGAGACGACAAAAAGCUUGUACUUGGUUUUCUCACUGGAACGUGCGUUUCUCUGGAUACACCGUACGCGGACCGUGUUUAGAUGAGCUGACUUGACGACGUGGAACGGUUGGGGCUGCGGUCCCUCUAGUUUCGGCAUGGUUUUAGUUCAAAAAUUGAUUCUGCGUUACAUCAAAUCUUACAGCAUAUAUAUAUAAUAUUAAAUAUAAAUAAAAAAUAACUAAUUGUACACUUUGUAUGUAAUUUACGAGACGAAUUUUUUAAUCUAGUCUAUAAUUAAAUAAUAAUUUAUUAAAUAUAAACAUAAGUGUUAUCGUAGGCAAAACCAAAAGUUUUCACAGCCUUUGUCAAAACGACGUGGAACUCUAUAAUUAAAUAAUAAUUUAUUAAAUGCAAACAAAAGUGUUAUUAUAGGCAAAACCAACAAAUUUUCACAGCCUUUGUCAAAGCGACGUGGAACGGUUACUGCUGCUGUUGUCGUGCUGGAGCCAAGAAGAAGCAUCCUCUUAUCUGGGUCUAGUUGGGCCCAAAUGUGUAGGUGUCCUGGGCCAAGGGCAUACUACUGGAUUCAAUGUCCUGAGUUUUUAUCCCCCUCGAAUACGCACAAGCAAUGCGUGUCUUUGUAUGGUAGGAAUUGAGUUGAUCAUUCAA
This 2541-nucleotide long non-coding RNA is filed under the name Sorghum bicolor (sorghum). RNAcentral describes it as "long non-coding RNA (SBIC_LNC003562)". Lineage: Eukaryota; Viridiplantae; Streptophyta; Magnoliopsida; Poales; Poaceae. The record is from RNAcentral.